This 497-nucleotide ribosomal RNA is filed under the name uncultured bacterium. Its description in RNAcentral is "partial 16S ribosomal RNA". It matches the Rfam family "Bacterial small subunit ribosomal RNA", at positions 28 to 507 of the family's 1533-position model. The record is from RNAcentral.
GAUGAACGCUGGCGGCGUGCCUAAUACAUGCAAGUCGAGCGAACAGACGAGGAGCUUGCUCCUCUGACGUUAGCGGCGGACGGGUGAGUAACACGUGGAUAACCUACCUAUAUGACUGGGAUAACUUCGGGAAACCGGAGCUAAUACCGGAUAAUAUAUUGAACCGCAUGGUUCAAUAGUGAAAGACGGUUUUGCUGUCACUUAUAGAUGGAUCCGCGCCGCAUUAGCUAGUUGGUAAGGUAACGGCUUACCAAGGCAACGAUGCGUAGCCGACCUGAGAGGGUGAUCGGCCACACUGGAACUGAGACACGGUCCAGACUCCUACGGGAGGCAGCAGUAGGGAAUCUUCCGCAAUGGGCGAAAGCCUGAUGGAGCAACGCCGCGUGAGUGAUGAAGGUCUUCGGAUCGUAAAACUCUGUUAUUAGGGAAGAACAAAUGUGUAAGUAACUAUGCACGUCUUGACGGUACCUAAUCAGAAAGCCACGGCUAACUACGUG